CUCGACUCGCAGUUCCUAUACCCUUUGCCUACCCCUAAUGUGUUGCCUCCUUUACCCACCCCUAUACUGUAGAUUUUUUUUUAAACCAAUGAUAUUAUCUACACUAAGGAAAUGGGGAAAGGUCUAACCUCACAAUGGGUUAGUAAUAAAGUGGUUCAAAUUUGCCUUUGGCGAGAAUCAAACAUAAGACCUCACUUAUAAGUGAAGAGGAAUACCAUCAGACCGUAGUACUAAGUGGCUUAUACUAUACAGUUAAAAAUACAAAAACAAUAAAUAGCAAACUAGUCACUCACUCUUAUUAAAAAAAGAAAAUUGGAGAAAUGAUCCCUCAACUUUGAUUGAAUUGUAGCUUGGUCCUUGAACUAAAAAUCCAUUAGAUUUAGUCCUUCAACUUGACAAAAUGUGGAGCAUUAGUCCUUUGGUACUAACACCAUGAGAUUUUCUGUUACUAUGAUGAUGUGGUCUCUGUGGGCUCUACAUUUUUGUUGAUGUGGAUGUCAUGUGGCCUAAAAAAUCUAUAAAAAAAUACAAACAUAGAGAAAGGAAAAAGAAAAUACAUAAAAUAAAAAAGGUUGAAUUCUCUCUCUCCCAUAUUCCCCUUCCGCCCACCUCAUUCUCCAAACCCAGCCUUCAUUAUAGUACUCUCCCAACAACCAAACCAAAGAAAGUUUCACAUCUAAAUUUGGAACACAAUCUUCCUUU
RNAcentral lists this long non-coding RNA (702 nucleotides) under Malus domestica (apple). RNAcentral describes it as "long non-coding RNA (MDOM_LNC014490)". Lineage: Eukaryota; Viridiplantae; Streptophyta; Magnoliopsida; Rosales; Rosaceae. The record is from RNAcentral.